UUUACGGUGACCGUGACCGGCAACCUGGCGUCGGUAGCGAUUUGGUUCAACCACACAACUUUUAUCCAGAAUCUGAGCCAGAGGGAGAGGCUGCUGAAGAAGUUCAAACUCUACAACUGCAGCAGGACGUUUCUGAAUGGUGCUCCUGUGGAAACUGUGCAACCAUGCCCACAGAAGCUGAGGACAUCUGCUGCUAGGAGAUACCGCAGGUUACCAGAUGGCUAUGGGAGAUCGUGGAAGAUUUACCAUGUAUGGUAGACCGUCCUGGGUUGGAGCCGCUCUGCCUCAAUGUGUUCUGCCUGCAACAUGUACCGCACUGACUAUGGUCCUUUACGGUUGAGAGGAAU
Seriola aureovittata is the source of this 347-nucleotide long non-coding RNA. RefSeq lists it as uncharacterized. Lineage: Eukaryota; Metazoa; Chordata; Actinopteri; Carangiformes; Carangidae. The transcript has 3 exons. The record is from RefSeq and is a predicted model, not a curated record.